CAGUUCGGAUUGUAGUCUGCAACCCGACUACAUGAAGCUGGAAUCGCUAGUAAUCGCGAAUCAGAAUGUCGCGGUGAAUACGUUCCCGGGUCUUGUACACACCGCCCGUCACACCAUGGGAGUUGGAAAUGCCCGAAGUCAGUGGCCCAACCGGAAGGGGGGAGCUGCCGAAGGCAGGUUCGAUGACUGGGGUGAAGUCGUAACAAGGUAAC
This 212-nucleotide ribosomal RNA is filed under the name uncultured bacterium. RNAcentral's name for it is "partial 16S ribosomal RNA". It matches the Rfam family "Bacterial small subunit ribosomal RNA", at positions 1289 to 1500 of the family's 1533-position model. The record is from RNAcentral.